RNAcentral lists this ribosomal RNA (262 nucleotides) under uncultured bacterium. Its description in RNAcentral is "partial 16S ribosomal RNA". It matches the Rfam family "Bacterial small subunit ribosomal RNA", at positions 511 to 771 of the family's 1533-position model. The record is from RNAcentral.
GCAGCCGCGGUAAUACGAAGGGUGCAAGCGUUACUCGGAAUUACUGGGCGUAAAGCGCACGUAGGCGGCUCGGUAAGUCUCAUUGUGAAAGCCCGGGGCUCAACCCCGGGAGGCCAGGGGAUACUGUCGAGCUGGAGACAAGCAGAGGCUGGUAGAAUUCCGGGUGUAGCGGUGGAAUGCGUAGAGAUCCGGAGGAAUACCAGAGGCGAAGGCGGCCAGCUGGGCUUGGUCUGACGCUGAGGUGCGAAAGCGUGGGGAGCGA